RNAcentral lists this ribosomal RNA (307 nucleotides) under uncultured Latescibacterota bacterium. RNAcentral describes it as "bacterial SSU rRNA". It matches the Rfam family "Bacterial small subunit ribosomal RNA", at positions 1078 to 1382 of the family's 1533-position model. The record is from RNAcentral. Lineage: Bacteria; Pseudomonadati; Candidatus Latescibacterota.
GGUUAAGUCCCGCAACGAGCGCAACCCUUAUCCCCAGUUGCCAUCAGGUAAAGCUGGGAACGUCUGGGGAGACUGCCGGUGAUAAACCGGAGGAAGGCGGGGGAUGACGUCAAGUCCUCAUGGCCCUUACAUCCCGGGCUACACACGUGCUACAAUGGCAGGUACAGAGGGCUGCGAAGCCGCGAGGUGGAGCGAAUCCCAGAAAACCUGUCUCAGUCCGGAUUGAAGUCUGCAACUCGACUUCAUGAAGGCGGAAUCGCUAGUAACCGCGAAUCAGCAGGUCGCGGUGAAUACGUUCCCGGGCCUU